This is a long non-coding RNA of Olea europaea var. sylvestris, 206 nucleotides long. RefSeq lists it as uncharacterized. The transcript has 3 exons. NCBI's taxonomy places the organism in Eukaryota, Viridiplantae, Streptophyta, Magnoliopsida, Lamiales, Oleaceae. The record is from RefSeq and is a predicted model, not a curated record.
CCUGACUUAGGGUCAGUCCUUACCAUGAAGAACAUGUUGAAAGUGGGGAUGAGUCGUCCAAUUGGUAUGGACUUUGAUCUUGAUGAGGUAUUGAGGACUCUGCCAGGAGGAGAUGAGGGCCUUACCCUCGUUGAUGGGGCCGAGCUUGAUCUGGAAGGAGUCAUGGACUCCAUGCCUGACCAGGGGCAGGAGGGUGAGGUGGAUCC